UAGGAGUUACUCUUGACCUAUCAGAA
This 26-nucleotide non-coding RNA is filed under the name Mus musculus (house mouse). The record is from RNAcentral. Lineage: Eukaryota; Metazoa; Chordata; Mammalia; Rodentia; Muridae.